GAGAAGGGUCACUUUAUUGCUGAGUGCAUGGCGGAGCUUUGUACCUCGUGUGGUAAGACUGCUCAUGUCAUGGGGGAUUGCCCGGUUAUGCGUGAUCAGGCUCCUGCUCUCACGAUGUAUGGAGUGUACUGUGCCGAGCUCACGUUCUUUGAGUCUCCGGCGGCGAGGGAGACUCUGGCUGAACCUCAGAGUUUGACUACUGGGCUUGUGAAGGCUACACGAGAAGUGGUUUCUGAGGCUCAAAUUGUGCAGCGACUUCAGGAACUGGCUCCAGGUGAUUUUCAGUGGGAGCUCGUCCCGAUUGAGGAUAAUGUGUUUCGGGUUGAUUUCCCAACGGUGGAAGAUUUGCAGAAGCUGCUGAGUUUUGGGUUGUGCAAGGUGCCGGGUACUAAGUGCGUCCUGGAGUUUCACGAGUGGAAGAAGGUGGAGCCUAAGGGAAAGCCGCUCACUCAGGUGUGGCUGCGGUUUUCAGGGGCCCCAUCUGAGUCCUUGUCAGAUGCUCGAGUUGUGGCGAGUUUGGGUAUGUUGGUUGGUAAGACUGAGGAUGUGGACAUGGCUUUCACCCGCGCACAUGGGGUGGCA
This 582-nucleotide ribosomal RNA is filed under the name Triticum aestivum (bread wheat). RNAcentral's name for it is "partial small subunit ribosomal RNA". Lineage: Eukaryota; Viridiplantae; Streptophyta; Magnoliopsida; Poales; Poaceae. The record is from RNAcentral.